UGGGGAAUUUUGGACAAUUGGGCGAAAGCCUGAUCCAGCAAUGCCGCGUGUGUGAAGAAGGCCUUCGGGUUGUAAAGCACUUUUGUCCGGAAAGAAAUCCUUGGCUCUAAUACAGUCGGGGGAUGACGGUACCGGAAGAAUAAGCACCGGCUAACUACGUGCCAGCAGCCGCGGUAAUACGUAGGGUGCAAGCGUUAAUCGGAAUUACUGGGCGUAAAGCGUGCGCAGGCGGUUUGCUAAGACCGAUGUGAAAUCCCCGGGCUCAACCUGGGAACUGCAUUGGUGACUGGCAGGCUAGAGUAUGGCAGAGGGGGGUAGAAUUCCACGUGUAGCAGUGAAAUGCGUAGAGAUGUGGAGGAAUACCGAUGGCGAAGGCAGCCCCCUGGGCCAAUACUGACGCUCAUGCACGAAAGCGUGGGGAGCAAACAGGAUUAGAUACCCUGGUAGUCCACGCCCUAAACGAUGUCAACUAGUUGUUGGGGAUUCAUUUCCUAGUAACGUAGCUAACGCGUGAAGUUGACCGCCUGGGGAGUACGGUCGCAAGAUUAAAACUCAAAUGAAUUGACGGGGUCAUAGCUGUUUCCCU
RNAcentral lists this ribosomal RNA (586 nucleotides) under uncultured bacterium. RNAcentral's name for it is "partial 16S ribosomal RNA". It matches the Rfam family "Bacterial small subunit ribosomal RNA", at positions 355 to 1363 of the family's 1533-position model. The record is from RNAcentral.